CCCUUAGACGUUCUGGGCCGCACGCGCGCUACACUGACGAAGUCAACGAGCUACUCUUCACCGAAAGGUGUGGGUAAUCUUUUGAAACUUCGUCGUGCUGGGGAUAGAUCCUUGCAAUUUUUGAUCUUAAACGAGGAAUUCCUAGUAAGCGCAAGUCAUCAACUUGCGUUGAUUACGUCCCUGCCCUUUGUACACACCGCCCGUCGCUACUAUCGAUUGAGCGGUUCAGUGAGGGCCUCGGAUUGGUCUCGGUCUGGCGUGCAAGCGCCGGCACCGAUGGUCGAGAAGAAGCUCGAACUCGAUCGCUUGGAGAAAGUAAAAGUCGUAACA
Molecule: ribosomal RNA, 330 nt
Filed under: uncultured eukaryote
Lineage: Eukaryota
Description: partial 18S ribosomal RNA
Rfam family: Eukaryotic small subunit ribosomal RNA
Source: RNAcentral